GCCCAGGUGGCGGAAUGGUUUACGCGAUAGUCUCAAAAACUAUUGGUCGCAAGACCAUGUGGGUUCGAAUCCCACCCUGGGCACCA
Molecule: transfer RNA, 86 nt
Filed under: Candidatus Levyibacteriota bacterium
Lineage: Bacteria; Candidatus Levyibacteriota
Description: tRNA-Leu
Rfam family: tRNA
About the family: Transfer RNA (tRNA) molecules are approximately 80 nucleotides in length. Their secondary structure includes four short double-helical elements and three loops (D, anti-codon, and T loops).
Source: RNAcentral